This 403-nucleotide long non-coding RNA is filed under the name Anas platyrhynchos platyrhynchos (common mallard). RNAcentral's name for it is "lncRNA (ENSAPLG00000027614.1)". The record is from RNAcentral. Lineage: Eukaryota; Metazoa; Chordata; Aves; Anseriformes; Anatidae.
CACAGACAUCUGGAAAACACUGGCUUUGCUUGCCUAUUUUUUUUUCCCCUAAGUGUCUAAGAAAGCAUGUAACCCUGCAAGGAUGUACACAGGAGGAUGCAAAUAUCAGUUUAUGUAAUGCAGCACAGCUUACAGCAGUACAAUCUACAUCACGCCUUCAGGGUCCCCAGAAGACUGAAUAGUAAGUUCAGUGUCUGAAACUCAUUCAUUCCUUGGAGAGUCGUUAGAGCUCACCAGACUUCCAACAAAAACCAUUGCCUCUGUGAAGAAGAUGCUGUCCAUCAGCAUUGCAUAAACUUUGCAUCUGCUGCAGUAUGUGUCAGACCAGAGCUGACUUAAUGCAGCAGACUGACAGAGAAAUCUUUGCUACACAAAUGAAAUAAAUAAACAUUUAUUUCUUACA